This 484-nucleotide ribosomal RNA is filed under the name uncultured bacterium. Its description in RNAcentral is "bacterial SSU rRNA". It matches the Rfam family "Bacterial small subunit ribosomal RNA", at positions 28 to 511 of the family's 1533-position model. The record is from RNAcentral.
GAUGAACGCUAGCGGCAGGCUUAACACAUGCAAGUCGAGGGGUAGAAGGAGCUUGCUCCUUUGAGACCGGCGCACGGGUGCGUAACGCGUAUGCAAUCUACCUUUUGCAGAGGGAUAGCCCAGAGAAAUUUGGAUUAAUACCUCAUAGUAUGUGAGGAUGGCAACAUUUUCACAUUAAAGUCACAACGGCAAAAGAUGAGCAUGCGUCCCAUUAGCUAGUUGGUAAGGUAACGGCUUACCAAGGCUACGAUGGGUAGGGGUCCUGAGAGGGAGAUCCCCCCACACUGGUACUGAGACACGGACCAGACUCCUACGGGAGGCAGCAGUGAGGAAUAUUGGACAAUGGGCGCAAGCCUGAUCCAGCCAUGCCGCGUGCAGGAUGACGGUCCUAUGGAUUGUAAACUGCUUUAUACAGGAAGAAACACACCCUCGUGAGGGUACUUGACGGUACUGUAUGAAUAAGGACCGGCUAACUCCGUGCCAG